Molecule: small nuclear RNA, 64 nt
Organism: Chelonoidis abingdonii (Abingdon island giant tortoise)
Lineage: Eukaryota; Metazoa; Chordata; Testudines; Testudinidae
Gene: U4
Rfam family: U4 spliceosomal RNA
About the family: U4 small nuclear RNA (U4 snRNA) is a component of the major U2-dependent spliceosome.
Source: Ensembl
GAAAUCGUAGCCAAUGAGGUUAAUCUGAGGCGCGAUUAUUGCUAAUUGAAAACUUUUCCUCAAA